RNAcentral lists this ribosomal RNA (759 nucleotides) under uncultured Kingella sp. Its description in RNAcentral is "bacterial SSU rRNA". It matches the Rfam family "Bacterial small subunit ribosomal RNA", at positions 28 to 774 of the family's 1533-position model. The record is from RNAcentral. Lineage: Bacteria; Pseudomonadati; Pseudomonadota; Betaproteobacteria; Neisseriales; Neisseriaceae.
AUUGAACGCUGGCGGCAUGCUUUACACAUGCAAGUCGGACGGCAGCGGGGGUGCUUGCACCUGCCGGCGAGUGGCGAACGGGUGAGUAAUAUAUUGGAACGUACCGAGUAGUGGGGGAUAACUAAGCGAAAGUUUAGCUAAUACCGCAUACGACCUGAGGGUGAAAGCGGGGGACGGGAGACUGCCUCGCGCUAUUUGAGCGGCCAAUAACUGAUUAGCUAGUUGGUGGGGUAAAGGCCUACCAAGGCGAUGAUCAGUAGCGGGUCUGAGAGGAUGAUCCGCCACACUGGGACUGAGAGACGGCCCAGACUCCUACGGGAGGCAGCAGUGGGGAAUUUUGGACAAUGGGGGCAACCCUGAUCCAGCCAUGCCGCGUGUCUGAAGAAGGCCUUCGGGUUGUAAAGGACUUUUGUUAGGGAAGAAAAGGGAAGUGCUAAUAUCACUUUUUGCUGACGGUACCUAAAGAAUAAGCACCGGCUAACUACGUGCCAGCAGCCGCGGUAAUACGUAGGGUGCGAGCGUUAAUCGGAAUUACUGGGCGUAAAGCGAGCGCAGACGGUUAUUUAAGUCAGAUGUGAAAAUCCCCGAGCUUAACUUGGGAACUGCGUUUGAAACUGGGGUAACUAGAGUAUGUCAGAGGGGGGUAGAAAUUCCACGUGUAGCAGUGAAAAUGCGUAGAGAUGUGGAGGAAUCCCGAUGGCGGAGGCCGCCCCCCUGGGAUAUUACUGUCGUUUCUGUUCAAAGCGUGGGUAUUUAACU